GUGAGGAAUCUUCCACAAUGGGCGAAAGCCUGAUGGAGCAACGCCGCGUGAAGGAUGAAGGUCUUCGGAUUGUAAACUUCUUUUAUGAGUGAAGAAUAUGACGGUAACUCAUGAAUAAGCACCGGCUAACUACGAGCCAGCAGCCGCGGUCAUACGUAGGGUGCAAGCAUUAUCCGGAGUGACUGGGCGUAAAGAGUUGCGUAGGUGGUUUAUUAAGUGGAUAGUGAAAGCUAGCGGCUCAACCGUAUAGAUUAUUAUUCAAACUGGUAAACUCGAGAAUGGUAGAGGUAACUGGAAUUUCUUGUGUAGGAGUGAAAUCCGUAGAUAUAAGAAGGAACACCAAUGGCGUAGGCAGGUUACUGGACCAUUUCUGACACUAAGGCACGAAAGCGUGGGGAGCGAACCGGAUUAGAAACCCCUGUAGUCC
This 427-nucleotide ribosomal RNA is filed under the name uncultured bacterium. RNAcentral's name for it is "partial 16S ribosomal RNA". It matches the Rfam family "Bacterial small subunit ribosomal RNA", at positions 354 to 796 of the family's 1533-position model. The record is from RNAcentral.